Molecule: ribosomal RNA, 440 nt
Filed under: uncultured bacterium
Lineage: Bacteria
Description: partial 16S ribosomal RNA
Rfam family: Bacterial small subunit ribosomal RNA
Source: RNAcentral
CCUACGGGCGGCAGCAGUGGGGAAUAUUGCACAAUGGGGGAAACCCUGAUGCAGCGACGCCGCGUGAGUGAAGAAGUAUUUCGGUAUGUAAAGCUCUAUCAGCAGGGAAGAAAAUGACGGUACCUGACUAAGAAGCGCCGGCUAACUACGUGCCAGCAGCCGCGGUAAUACGUAGGGGGCAAGCGGUAUCCGGAUUUACUGGGUGUAAAGGGAGCGUAGGCGGCACGGUAAGCCCGAAGGGAAAGCCCGGGGCUCAACUGCGGGACUGCUUUUGGAACUAGCUGGCUAGAUUGCAGGAGAGGUAAGUGGAAUGCGUGGUGUAGCGGUGAAAUGCGUAGAUAUUAGGAGGAACACCAGUGGCGAAGGCGGCUUACUGGACUGUAAAUGACGCUGAGGCUCGAAAGCGUGGGGAGCAAACAGGAUUAGAUACCCUUGUAGUC